Molecule: ribosomal RNA, 542 nt
Filed under: uncultured bacterium
Lineage: Bacteria
Description: bacterial SSU rRNA
Rfam family: Bacterial small subunit ribosomal RNA
Source: RNAcentral
UGGGGAAUCUUGGACAAUGGGGGCAACCCUGAUCCGAGCCAUGCCGCGUGAGUGAUGAAGGCCUUAGGGUCGUAAAGCUCUUUCGCCUGUGAAGAUAAUGACGGUAGCAGGUAAAGAAACCCCGGCUAACUCCGUGCCAGCAGCCGCGGUAAUACGGAGGGGGUUAGCGUUGUUCGGAAUUACUGGGCGUAAAGCGCACGUAGGCGGACCAGAAAGUUGGGGGUGAAAUCCCGGGGGCUCAACCCCGGAACUGCCUCCAAAACUAUUGGUCUAGAGUUCGAGAGAGGUGAGUGGAAUUCCAAGUGUAGAGGUGAAAUUCGUAGAUAUUUGGAGGAACACCAGUGGCGAAGGCGGCUCACUGGCUCGAUACUGACGCUGAGGUGCGAAAGUGUGGGGAGCAAACAGGAUUAGAUACCCUGGUAGUCCACACCGUAAAACGAUGAAUGCCAGUCGUCGGGUAGCAUGCUAUUCGGUGACACACCUAACGGAUUAAGCAUUCCGCCUGGGGAGUACGGUCGCAAGAUUAAAACUCAAAUGAAUUG